This 270-nucleotide ribosomal RNA is filed under the name Triticum aestivum (bread wheat). RNAcentral describes it as "partial small subunit ribosomal RNA". Lineage: Eukaryota; Viridiplantae; Streptophyta; Magnoliopsida; Poales; Poaceae. The record is from RNAcentral.
GACGACGAGGAGGAGGCGCACUGCCCCAUCUGCCUCGACACCAUGGAGCCGGGCCGCGCCGUGCGCGUCCUCCCCAGCUGCAACCGCGCCUUCCACCAGGACUGCGUCGAUCAGUGGCUGGCCAUCUCGCCUGGGUGGCCGCCCUGCUCAGCCGCUCGGGCCGCACGGUCGAGCUCGUUCGGCCGGACAACGCCAUGUCCGCCUCCUACAGGACCAUGGUGCGCGCGCUCUCGCGCUUGCCUGUGCGUGGCCAAGGAGGACGACAGCUAG